AACGAACGCUGGCGGCAUGCCUAACACAUGCAAGUCGAACGAGACCUUCGGGCCUAGUGGCGCACGGGUGCGUAACGCGUGGGAACCUGCCCUUAGGUUCGGAAUAACUCCCCGAAAGGGGUGCUAAUACCGGAUAAUGUCUUCGGACCAAAGAUUUAUCGCCUGUGGAUGGGCCCGCGUUGGAUUAGCUAGUUGGUAGGGUAAAAGCCUACCAUGGCGACGAUCCAUAGCUGGUCUGAGAGGAUGAUCAACCGCACUGGGACUGAGACACGGCCCAGACUCCGACGGGAGGCAGCAGUGGGGAAUAUUGGACAAUGGGCGAAGGCCUGAUCCAGCAAUGCCGCGUGAGUGAUGAAGGCCUUAGGGUUGUAAAGCUCUUUUACCCGGGAUGAUAAUGACAGUACCGGGAGAAUAAGCUCCGGCUAACUCCGUG
This 433-nucleotide ribosomal RNA is filed under the name uncultured bacterium. RNAcentral's name for it is "partial 16S ribosomal RNA". It matches the Rfam family "Bacterial small subunit ribosomal RNA", at positions 29 to 507 of the family's 1533-position model. The record is from RNAcentral.